AAGUCGUAACAAGGUUUCCGUAGGUGAACCUGCGGACCCCGCUACCAGUCGAAACGACCAACCUGCGCAACCAUUACGUGUUGAGCGGCGUCGUAAACCGAAAUACUUGAACAACUGUUAACAAUGGAUAUCUUGGUUCUC
RNAcentral lists this unclassified non-coding RNA (141 nucleotides) under fungal sp. RNAcentral's name for it is "partial internal transcribed spacer region". Lineage: Eukaryota; Fungi. The record is from RNAcentral.